RNAcentral lists this ribosomal RNA (744 nucleotides) under Anopheles judithae. Its description in RNAcentral is "bacterial SSU rRNA". It matches the Rfam family "Eukaryotic small subunit ribosomal RNA", at positions 614 to 1297 of the family's 1831-position model. Lineage: Eukaryota; Metazoa; Arthropoda; Insecta; Diptera; Culicidae. The record is from RNAcentral.
UGCGGUUAAAACGUUCGAAGUUGAAUGUUGUCCAACAAAAAGGCCGCUACUGCCGACUUGGUUGACUCCUCGUUGGCAGGAAUGUACGGAUUCUAGUUGCGACUAACAAUGGUGCGGAAUAGGCUCAAACUGCGGAGCCCGGAUGCCCCUGACCCGGGUGUUCGGUGUUUCUGCAGUGCUCAACCGCCCACUUUACCUUGAACAAAUUAGAGUGAUCAAGGCAGGCCAUGAAUAUAUGGCCUAGAAUAAUCUUGCAUGGAAUAAUGAAAUACGACCUCGGUCUUAAUAUUUCGUUGGUUUGUCAUCAAACCGAGGUAAUGGUUAACAGAAGUAGUUUGGGGCAUAAGUAUUACGGCGCGAGAGGUGAAAUUCGUAGACCGUCGUAAGACUAACCGAAGCGAAAGCGUUUGCCAAGGAUGCUUUCUUUAAUCAAGAACGAAAGUUAGAGGAUCGAAGGCGAUUAGAUACCGCCCUAGUUCUAACCGUAAACCAUGCCAGUUAGCAAUUGGGAGACGCUACAUCCGGUGCUCUCAGUAUCUUUCGGGAAACCAAAACUGGUUCCGGGGGAAGUAUGGUUGCAAAAUUGAAACUUAAAGGAAUUGACGGAAGGGCACCACCAGGUGUGGAGCCUGCGGCUUAAUUUGACUCAACACGGAAAAACUUACCAGGUCCAAACUUACUAAUGUAAGACAGAUUGAUAGCUCUUUCUCAAAUUUAAGGGUAGUGGUGCAUGGCCGUUCUUAG